GGGGAAUAUUGCGCAAUGGGGGAAACCCUGACGCAGCAACGCCGCGUGAAGGAUGAAGGUUUUCGGAUUGUAAACUUCUUUGACGAGGGACGAAAAAUGACGGUACCUCGAAAACAAGCCACGGCUAACUACGUGCCAGCAGCCGCGGUAAUACGUAGGUGGCAAGCGUUAUCCGGAAUUACUGGGUGUAAAGGGCGAGUAGGCGGGACUGCAAGUCAGUAGUGAAAUGCGGAGGCUCAACCUCCGAGCUGCUAUUGAAACUGCGGUUCUUGAGUGAUGGAGAGGCAGGCGGAAUUCCCGGUGUAGCGGUGAAAUGCGUAGAGAUCGGGAGGAACACCAGUGGCGAAGGCGGCCUGCUGGACAUUAACUGACGCUGAGGCGCGAAAGCGUGGGGAGCAAAC
Molecule: ribosomal RNA, 401 nt
Filed under: uncultured bacterium
Lineage: Bacteria
Description: bacterial SSU rRNA
Rfam family: Bacterial small subunit ribosomal RNA
Source: RNAcentral